This is an unclassified non-coding RNA of Fukomys damarensis (Damara mole-rat), 350 nucleotides long. Its record names the gene 7SK. It matches the Rfam family "7SK RNA". Rfam says of the family: 7SK was discovered as an abundant small nuclear RNA in the mid-70s but a possible function has only recently been suggested. Two independent studies have found that 7SK RNA binds the CDK9/cyclin T complex (known as elongation factor P-TEFb). NCBI's taxonomy places the organism in Eukaryota, Metazoa, Chordata, Mammalia, Rodentia, Bathyergidae. The record is from Ensembl.
AGGUGUGAGGGCGAGCUGGCUGUGACAUCUGUCACCCCACUAAUCACCAGGGUUGGUUUAACUGAUCUGGCUGGCUAGGUAGGUGCCCCUUUCCUCCCUCACCACUCCAUGUGUGUCCCUCUCAAAGCUGUGCACUUGGUCUAAGACGAUGACCACCCCCAAUAGAGGAGGACCAUUUUCCCCAACAAGGGUGUAAGAGCAGCUGUGCUCCCCUGCUCAAACCUCCCAACAGACUCUCACAAGUUUGACCCCAGCCUGAGCAACUCAGCAAGCCCUGUCUCAAAAAUAAUAAUAAAAUUUUAAAAAGGGCUGGGGAAUGGGACUAUUGCUCAGUAUGAAGGCCCUGGGUU